RNAcentral lists this ribosomal RNA (255 nucleotides) under Clostridioides difficile. RNAcentral's name for it is "partial 23S ribosomal RNA". It matches the Rfam family "Bacterial large subunit ribosomal RNA", at positions 2598 to 2855 of the family's 2925-position model. The record is from RNAcentral. Lineage: Bacteria; Bacillati; Bacillota; Clostridia; Peptostreptococcales; Peptostreptococcaceae.
ACGCGAGCUGGGUUCAGAUCGUUGUUGGACCGUUCGGUCCCUAUCCGUCGCAGGCGCUGGAAAUUUGAGUAGGCCUGUCCUUAGUACGAGAUGACCGGGAUGUACGUACCUCUGGUGUACCAGUUGUCCUGCCAAGGGCAUGGCUGGGUAGCUAUGUACGGAAUGGAUAAGCGCUGAAAGCAUCUAAGCGCGAAGCCAACUUCAAGAUAAGAUUUCCCACCGCAAGGGUAAGACCCCAGAAAGACUAUCUGGUUG